This 2148-nucleotide long non-coding RNA is filed under the name Pogona vitticeps (central bearded dragon). Its description in RNAcentral is "lncRNA (ENSPVIG00000004303.1)". The record is from RNAcentral. Lineage: Eukaryota; Metazoa; Chordata; Lepidosauria; Squamata; Agamidae.
AUGAUCUGAGCAUUUCAGCUGCCAGAGUGAUGUUUUUCUACUGGUAGGGCAACCAACCAACAUCCAGCAAAGGGAAGCCAAGUUAGUACAGCUAAAGGAUGCCAUUAAGAUAUGAAGUUCGCAAGAUGCUUGAAAUGUUGGAUCUCCUGUCCUGGCUUCCCCAUUUACUCCUCCCUUUGGGAAACCUUGAGACUCUAGUCUCUUCUGAUAUUUGAACUUAAGUGUGGGGGCUCAGCCCUCUCAGGUUUGUAGGACUGGACACAAAUGAAAUCUGCGGAUGACCCUGUAACAAGCAGCAUUCAAUGACGUGGUCCUUGUCAAUGGUGAGCCACACCAGCGAGGGCCACUGAAGCUACAGACUGCCCGUUGGGGACAGUUCUUGCCAUAUUCUCUGUUGUUUUCAUUUGCUUUGCGCGGCAGCACAAAAAUUGUAAAUAACAUUCACAACACAGCUGUUUCUGUGCCUAUUUUCUAUACAAAAAAAUCUCUAUAUUCUAGCUUAAUAAACAGGUCUUAAGGCUUACAGCCCUAUACAGACUGGGCAUGGAGAGAGUCCAAUUGAACUUGGCAUCUGAGGAAAGAUGUAUAGAACUGUACGGUGAAGCGAGUUACAUUAUUUGUCUGUGGCUUGUUUGUUCUGGACAGAGUGUUCCCACUCACCCCCCUUGCAGGCCAUUGUUAAUAAAAUAUUCGUAUAAUUCAAUAACAUUCACAUUUGCUAGACAACUUUGUGAAGUGGCCAUAGUAAGGUCGUGGAGGGCAGUGGCCUUAUCUCCUCCCCCCCCCCGAGGCCCCCUCUGGCAUGGAAAACAUGUAUUGGUGAGUUUUGUAAAUCUCCAGAGUGGGUUUGGAGGGGUGCUUAGAGUAAAUCUAUUUAAUUUUUCUUUUAAAAAGCAAGUAGUAAGUUCCGUUCCCUUGGAAGCUGAACCAGGCUCGUGCGUGUACAACAGACGUGAAAACUGGACAUCCAUUUAUCUGUACAAAAUGGUGGUGGGUGGUGUUGGAGAAACCAUUCUUUUCCUUGUUUCUCUUCCCGGCCAAUCUGGAGUCGAUUCCUCUGCUGAAAAAAUGAUGAAAGCAGGGAAGGAAGUUUAUGUUGCAGCAUCCGUUUUUUAAAAAAGGCAACCAAUAAGGUUGCAUUAGAAUAGGCCUGCAAGGGUAAAUAUUAUUUUCCAGGAUCUGAAGGGUUUGUUCAUUCAGAAAAAAAAAGAUCUCAUCUACCAUUUCACGUCUGUGGUUUAGGCCAACCGGGGCCCCUUAGCUCUCCAGCCUGAUAUGGCUAAUGGUCUAGGAUGUUGGGAAUUGUAGUCUACAACUUCUGGGAGGCAUCAGGUUGGAACAGGUCAGUCUCUGGAGCCUUUGUGAAAUGGUUAUUCUCAUUUUUGUGCCUACGGAGAGGAUUCCAUGGUGCACAUGCUUCUGGGAACAUUUCCGAACCAUCGCCAGUGGCCCAGAACACCUGGUCCUUCCUCUGAGCCUCGGUUCAGUUGGACGUAGUGGUCAAGAGGCAACCUGGUGGAGCCUUAUUAGAUCUUAGAAGGAAUGUGCAAAGGAACAGUACUUUAACUUAUAACAUAUUGCUUCUUUGCUAACGGUGUUUCCAGAGAACUUUUUUAAAAAAAACAAAGUUGUGGUUAUUAAAUUUGUCACUUUUUAGUACAGUGGGUAAAGUGUACAAAACCCCUAAGUGGGGUUUUUUUUGGUGUAUUCUUAAGAAACACUUUGGGGUUUUAUGUUUUCAACGAGUGUUGGUGUUUUGUUCUGUUUUUUUUAAUUAAAAAGUAGCAAAAAGAAAAGCAUAGCUUAGGUGUUACUAAGUGCUGCUUUUCACAACAGUAUUUAUAAGCCGUGAUAACCAUUUGCCCUUUUAAAAGGAUCUGUGAGCAACAGAUUGGUUUCUAGGAACGAUUGACAAAGUUCUCUGUCUUAUGUAGCAAAAGGUGUGAUCUAUGCUGGUUGUAAAAGGUAGCAGCAGGCUUGGGAAAAUCCGAUGGUUUGCAGAAAUAUAGAAAUAACUUUAUGAAGUGGGGGGGAACUUAAAAGGAGACAGAAGCCUCCCCAGACACUCAAGGAAACACCCUGUCAUUUGGUUUGAAAUGCUUACAAAGGCGUAAGUUACCAGAAUAAAGUAUUAUGUAAAAGAAUGCA